UCUAAUAUGGCAGAUUAUAUGUAAUGGAUUUAAACCCCAUUUAUAA
RNAcentral lists this transfer RNA (46 nucleotides) under Vanessa annabella. Its description in RNAcentral is "partial tRNA-Leu". The record is from RNAcentral. RNAcentral also lists the same sequence under 3 other names. Lineage: Eukaryota; Metazoa; Arthropoda; Insecta; Lepidoptera; Nymphalidae.